UUCGCCCUUAGAGUUUGAUCCUGGCUCAGGACGAACGCUGGCGGCACGCUUAACACAUGCAAGUCGAACGAGAGAAGAGAAGCUUGCUUUUCUGAUCUAGUGGCGGACGGGUGAGUAACACGUGAGCAAUCUGCCUUUCAGAGGGGGAUACCGAUUGGAAACGAUCGUUAAUACCGCAUAACAUAAUUGAACCGCAUGAUUUGAUUAUCAAAGAUUUAUCGCUGAAAGAUGAGCUCGCGUCUGAUUAGCUAGUUGGUAAGGUAACGGCUUACCAAGGCGACGAUCAGUAGCCGGACUGAGAGGUUGAUCGGCCACAUUGGGACUGAGACACGGCCCAGACUCCUACGGGAGGCAGCAGUGGGGAAUAUUGCACAAUGGAGGAAACUCUGAUGCAGCGAUGCCGCGUGAGGGAAGAAGGUUUUAGGAUUGUAAACCUCUGUCUUUGGGGACGAAAAAUGACGGUACCCAAGGAGGAAGCUCCGGCUAACUACGUGCCAGCAGCCGCGGUAAUACGUAGGGAGCGAGCGUUGUCCGGAAUUACUGGGUGUAAAGGGAGCGUAGGCGGGAUCGCAAGUCAGAUGUGAAAACUAUGGGCUUAACCCAUAAACUGCAUUUGAAACUGUGGUUCUUGAGUGAAGUAGAGGUAAGCGGAAUUCCUAGUGUAGCGGUGAAAUGCGUAGAUAUUAGGAGGAACAUCAGUGGCGAAGGCGGCUUACUGGGCUUUAACUGACGCUGAGGCUCGAAAGCGUGGGGAGCAAACAGGAUUAGAUACCCUGGUAGUCCACGCCGUAAACGAUGAUUACUAGGUGUGGGGGGACUGACCCCUUCCGUGCCGCAGCAAACGCAAUAAGUAAUCCACCUGGGGAGUACGACCGCAAGGUUGAAACUCAAAGGAAUUGACGGGGGCCCGCACAAGCAGUGGAGUAUGUGGAUUAAUUCGAAGCAACGCGAAGAACCUUACCAGGUCUUGACAUCGUAUGCAUAGCUCAGAGAUGAGUGAAAUCUCUUCGGAGACAUAUAGACAGGUGGUGCAUGGUUGUCGUCAGCUCGUGUCGUGAGAUGUUGGGUUAAGUCCCGCAACGAGCGCAACCCUUACUGUUAGUUGCUACGCAAGAGCACUCUAGCAGGACUGCCGUUGACAAAACGGAGGAAGGUGGGGAUGACGUCAAAUCAUCAUGCCCCUUAUGACCUGGGCCUCACACGUACUACAAUGGCUGUCAACAGAGGGAUGCAAAGCCGCGAGGUGGAGCGAACCCCUAAAAGCAGUCUUAGUUCGGAUUGUAGGCUGCAACCCGCCUACAUGAAGUCGGAAUUGCUAGUAAUCGCAGAUCAGCAUGCUGCGGUGAAUACGUUCCCGGGCCUUGCACUCACCGCCCGUCA
Molecule: ribosomal RNA, 1380 nt
Filed under: uncultured bacterium
Lineage: Bacteria
Description: 16S ribosomal RNA
Rfam family: Bacterial small subunit ribosomal RNA
Source: RNAcentral